AACGAACGCUGGCGGCAUGCCUAACACAUGCAAGUCGAACGAGACCUUCGGGUCUAGUGGCGCACGGGUGCGUAACGCGUGGGAACCUGCCCUUAGGUUCGGAAUAACUCCCCGAAAGGGGUGCUAAUACCGGAUAAUGUCUUCGGACCAAAGAUUUAUCGCCUUUGGAUGGGCCCGCGUUGGAUUAGCUAGUUGGGAGGGUAAAAGCCUACCAAGGCGACGAUCCAUAGCUGGUCUGAGAGGAUGAUCAGCCACACUGGGACUGAGACACGGCCCAGACUCCUACGAGAGGCAGCAGUGGGGAAGAUAGGACAGUGGGCGAAAGCCUGAUCCAGCAAUGCCGCGAGAGUGAUGAAGGCCUUAGAGUUGUAAAGCUCUUUUACCCGGGAGGAUAAUGACAGUACCGGGAGAAUAAGCUCCGGCUAACUCCGU
Molecule: ribosomal RNA, 432 nt
Filed under: uncultured bacterium
Lineage: Bacteria
Description: partial 16S ribosomal RNA
Rfam family: Bacterial small subunit ribosomal RNA
Source: RNAcentral